AUUAGUACUUGUCAGCGGCUGGCUAAUAACCAGUCCGUCUGCACAUUUACCCUGUUUUUUGCGUACCUAUUGUUUCCUCGGCAGGCUCGCCUGCCAGAGGACCCAUUUUCAACCUUUUUGAAAUAGUAGUCAGCGUCAGAAAAACUUAAUUAUUUA
This 156-nucleotide unclassified non-coding RNA is filed under the name uncultured fungus. Its description in RNAcentral is "sequence contains ITS1, 5.8S rRNA gene". The record is from RNAcentral. Lineage: Eukaryota; Fungi.